AGCUCCAAUAGCGUAUAUUAAAGUUGUUGCAGUUAAAAAGCUCGUAGUUGGAUUUGUGGUUGAGGUGGCCGGCCCUCACUAUGUGUGGUGCUUGGCUGUCCUCGUCCAUCCUUGGGUGGAACUGGUGUGGCAUUAAGUUGUCGUGUCAGGGAUGCCCAUCAUUUACUGUGAAAAAAUUAGAGUGUUCAAAGCAGGCUUACGCCGCUGAAUAUAUUAGCAUGGAAUAAUGAGAUAGGACCUUGGUACUAUUUUGUUGGUUUCCGGAACUCGAGGUAAUGAUUAAUAGGGACGGACGGGGGCAUUUGUAUUGCGACGUUAGAGGUGAAAUUCUUAGAUCGUCGCAAGACAAACUACUGCGAAAGCAUUUGCCAAGAAUGUUUUCAUUAAUCAAGAACGAAAG
Molecule: ribosomal RNA, 400 nt
Filed under: phytoplankton environmental sample
Lineage: Eukaryota
Description: partial small subunit ribosomal RNA
Rfam family: Eukaryotic small subunit ribosomal RNA
Source: RNAcentral